RNAcentral lists this ribosomal RNA (433 nucleotides) under uncultured bacterium. Its description in RNAcentral is "partial 16S ribosomal RNA". It matches the Rfam family "Bacterial small subunit ribosomal RNA", at positions 29 to 507 of the family's 1533-position model. The record is from RNAcentral.
AGCGAACGCUGGCGGCAGGCCUAACACAUGCAAGUCGAACGAACUCUUCGGAGUUAGUGGCGGACGGGUGAGUAACACGUGGGAACGUGCCUUUUGGUUCGGAAUAACUCAGGGAAACUUGUGCUAAUACCGAAUGUGCCCUUCGGGGGAAAGAUUUAUCGCCAUUAGAGCGGCCCGCGUCUGAUUAGCUAGUUGGUGAGGUAACGGCUCACCAAGGCGACGAUCAGUAGCUGGUCUGAGAGGAUGACCAGCCACACUGGGACUGAGACACGGCCCAGACUCCUACGGGAGGCAGCAGUGGGGAAUCUUGCGUAAUGGGCGAAAGCCUGACGCAGCCAUGCCGCGUGAAUGAUGAAGGUCUUAGGAUUGUAAAAUUCUUUCACCGGGGACGAUAAUGACGGUACCCGGAGAAGAAGCCCCGGCUAACUUCGUG